RNAcentral lists this ribosomal RNA (415 nucleotides) under uncultured crenarchaeote. RNAcentral describes it as "partial 16S ribosomal RNA". It matches the Rfam family "Archaeal small subunit ribosomal RNA", at positions 330 to 747 of the family's 1478-position model. Lineage: Archaea; Thermoproteati; Thermoproteota. The record is from RNAcentral.
GCGCAGCAGUUGCGAAAACUUGUCAAUACACGAAAGUGUGAACGGGCUACCCCGAGUGCCGUCCGCUGAGGAUGGCUUUUCUCUGCUGUAAGAAGGCAGAGGAAUAAGGAGAGGGCAAGUCUGGUGUCAGCCGCCGCGGUAAUACCAGCUCUCCGAGUGGUAGGGAUGAUUAUUGGGCUUAAAGCGUCCGUAGCUGGCCUUUCAAGCCUCUUGUUAAAUCCAGCGAUUCAAUCGUUGGACUGCGGGAGAUACUGUUAGGCUAGGGGGCGGGAGAAGCCGACGGUAUUUCCGGGGUAGGGGUGAAAUCCUAUAAUCCCGGGAGGACCACCAGUGGCGAAGGCUGUUGGCUAGAACACGCCCGACAGUGAGGGAUGAAAGCUGGGGGAGCGAACCGGAUUAGAUACCCCCGUAGUCC